This 253-nucleotide ribosomal RNA is filed under the name uncultured bacterium. RNAcentral describes it as "partial 16S ribosomal RNA". It matches the Rfam family "Bacterial small subunit ribosomal RNA", at positions 524 to 776 of the family's 1533-position model. The record is from RNAcentral.
UACGUAGGGGGCAAGCGUUGUCCGGAAUCAUUGGGCGUAAAGAGCGUGUAGGCGGUUCGGUAAGUCUGCCGUGAAAACCUGGGGCUCAACCCCGGGCGUGCGGUGGAUACUGCCGGGCUAGAGGGUGGUAGAGGCGAGUGGAAUUCCCGGUGUAGCGGUGAAAUGCGCAGAUAUCGGGAGGAACACCAGUAGCGAAGGCGGCUCGCUGGGCCAUUCCUGACGCUGAGACGCGAAAGCUAGGGGAGCGAACAGG